RNAcentral lists this ribosomal RNA (456 nucleotides) under Chelator sp. 01 SB-2021a. RNAcentral describes it as "partial 16S ribosomal RNA". It matches the Rfam family "Bacterial large subunit ribosomal RNA", at positions 1833 to 2569 of the family's 2925-position model. Lineage: Eukaryota; Metazoa; Arthropoda; Malacostraca; Isopoda; Desmosomatidae. The record is from RNAcentral.
CUUUCAGUAGGAAUACUGGGUAGUCUCUGCUCCAUGAAUUGUUUUAUAUAGCCGCAGUAUCUUGACUGUGCUAAGGUAGCAUAAUAAUUUGUCUUUUAAUUGGAGGCUAGAAUGAAAGAGCUGACGACGCCCACCCUUUCUCAGUUUAUUGGUGGAAUUUGAUAUUUGCCUUAAAAAGUGCAACUUCCUGGGGGGACGAUAAGACCCUAUGAAACUUUGAUUUAGUUUACUUUAAUGUAUUUGGGAGGCUUAAGAUUUAUUGAAUUAAGCUGGGGCGGCAGCUAGGGUUCACUAGCAAAGGUAACAUGAUUUUUGAGAGUGAAGAUCUUAGUUAAGAGUUAGAAUAAGUUACUUUAGGGAUAACAGCACAAUUUUUUUGUAUAGGUCGCAUAGAAUAAAAAGACUUGUGACCUCGAUGUUGAAUUGGGGGGCCCCACUGCAGCAGAAAUCGGUGAG